This 254-nucleotide ribosomal RNA is filed under the name uncultured bacterium. Its description in RNAcentral is "partial 16S ribosomal RNA". It matches the Rfam family "Bacterial small subunit ribosomal RNA", at positions 524 to 776 of the family's 1533-position model. The record is from RNAcentral.
UACGAAGGGGGCGAGCGUUGUCCGGAUUUAUUGGGCGUAAAGAGCUCGUAGGCGGUUCGGUAAGUCGGGUGUGAAACCUCCAGGCUCAACCUGGAGUCGCCACUCGAUACUGCUGUGACUAGAGUCCGGUAGGGGAGCGUGGAAUUCCUGGUGUAGCGGUGAAAUGCGCAGAUAUCAGGAGGAACACCGAUGGCGAAGGCAGGUCUCUGGGCAUUAACUGACGCUGAGGAGCGAAAGCAUGGGGAGCGAACAGG